GAGGAAUAUUGGUCAAUGGGCGAGAGCCUGAACCAGCCAAGUAGCGUGCAGGACGACGGCCCUAUGGGUUGUAAACUGCUUUUAUACAGGAAUAAAGUUAGCCACGUGUGGUUGUUUGUAGGUACUGUAUGAAUAAGGACCGGCUAAUUCCGUGCCAGCAGCCGCGGUAAUACGGAAGGUCCAGGCGUUAUCCGGAUUUAUUGGAUUUAAAGGGAGCGUAGGCCGUCUGUUAAGCGUGUUGUGAAAUGUAGAUGCUCAACAUCUGAAUUGCAGCGCGAACUGGCAGACUUGAGUGUGCGCAACGUAGGCGGAAUUCGUGGUGUAGCGGUGAAAUGCUUAGAUAUCACGAAGAACUCCGAUUGCGAAGGCAGCUUACGGGAGCACAACUGACGCUGAAGCUCGAAAGUGCGGGUAUCGAAC
Molecule: ribosomal RNA, 420 nt
Filed under: uncultured bacterium
Lineage: Bacteria
Description: bacterial SSU rRNA
Rfam family: Bacterial small subunit ribosomal RNA
Source: RNAcentral